UACGAGGGGUCCAAGCGUUGCUCGGAAUCAUUGGGCGUAAAGCGGGUGUAGGUGGCUUUAUAAGUCAGGAGUGAAAGCCCUGGGCUCAACCCAGGAAGUGCUUUUGAUACUGUAAAGCUUGAGUGUGGGAGAGGAUCGUGGAAUUCCAGGUGUAGUGGUGAAAUACGUAGAUAUCUGGAGGAACACCGGUGGCGAAGGCGGCGAUCUGGCCCAACACUGACACUCAGACCCGAAAGUGCAGGGAUCAAACAGG
Molecule: ribosomal RNA, 253 nt
Filed under: uncultured bacterium
Lineage: Bacteria
Description: partial 16S ribosomal RNA
Rfam family: Bacterial small subunit ribosomal RNA
Source: RNAcentral